Molecule: RNA transcript, 1352 nt
Organism: Odobenus rosmarus divergens (Pacific walrus)
Lineage: Eukaryota; Metazoa; Chordata; Mammalia; Carnivora; Odobenidae
Exons: 4
Source: RefSeq, a predicted model, not a curated record
GGCGCGCGCCCGGUGGCCGUUGGCGCUCGCGCCGCGUCUUUCUUCUCGGAGGAAACUGAGGCCUAGAUGUCAUUGGGACCCUUCACAACCGAUUUGAAGCCCCUGUUUGAAUCCCUGGGAUAUGUGAGCUGUUUCUAUGCAUAAUGGAUAUUUGGGAAAAAGACACUGAUCUACACUGCCAGUCAUUCCCUUUAAUCCUGUCAAACGCAGUCAAAAUGAGGGGCUUAAGCACUUGAGACCCCUUCUACCAGAUCUGAAGGACUACAGAUUGAAAGCACUGUCCAUUCCUCUCUUCUGCAGUAAAACAGAGGUGACAGAAAUGUACCAGUUCACCUUGGCAAAAGACUAAAGGAAUGCAAGAAAAGUUUUCCACUGAACUUAAAACUUACACUGACUUAAUAGCCUCACAGAACUGUUUGCCAGGGGGAGGCUUAUUGUCCUGUGUUGUGUCUGCAAGAUGGUUGGGCUCUCAGAUUCAAGGCCACUGAGUUUACUUCUGUUGAAACACUAUUGCAUCAUCCAAAGUAUGCUAUUGGACACAGUUAUUCCAUUCAAAUGGAUUACAAGCUUCCUGAGUACAGGACAAACUUACUCCUCACGAUGUUUUUUCAGAAUACUUUUAUUGUCAAGAAAGUAACAAAUGCCAGCUGUUAGUGAACAGAUACUAAACUUUUUCAGUAUUAUGGGUCAUAUUGACAUCAGUUGUUUUUGAUUGACCAGCAUCCAUUCCAUCUCUUUGUAGCAACUCUGUGAUGUUUCUUGGAACCACUUUUCCGUAUCUUCAGUCCACAUGAUUCAGACAGUCUGGCCUAACUUGAAGCUUCAUGGGUGGACAUGUAAUUCAGACCUGAUCAAUCAGCAUAGUCCAUUCUUUCACCAUAAAGAUUGGUUCUGGAAUGGUCGUGUGAUCCAAGUUGGUCCAGUGAUACUCAGCCCUAGGAGUUCUACUGAACUGUGGAGGAGAAGCUCAGAAGCUCUCUUUACCGAGGUUGCUUGGCUUUGUAGUAUGAAAAGCUCAAACCAACAGGGCCCACCACAUCAAAUGAGCCAGAGAAUGAAGCCAGUGCAGAGCCAAAUGAUGGAGAGACUUGAGUCCUGAUGACAAUGUUUGUGCCCCUGGAUCCAACUGUGCCUGAAGCUAGUAUAUCCCUAUGGACUUUUCAGUUAUGUGAGCCAAUAAAUACCCUUUUUUGCUUUAAGUUACUUUGAGUUGGGUUUCUAUUGCUUAAAAUUGAGUCAGUCCUGACUAGUAUACUGUCUACCAGCAUCAAAACUUGACAAAUUCAAGUAUUUAUUAAACUGGAGGUCAUGGCCACACUGAGGUCUUCCAAACCAGAAGACAAAGUGAAACA